AGAAUAUCAACAAUGAGUCUUGUUUGUGAGAUACUACCUGAUUUUGUUUAUGUGGUAUCAGUUUUUAUAUUCCAGUUACUUACAGACAGUCAUAAUAGAGAAGUGAAAUCUUUAUGUAGAUUUUCAGCUUUUUUACAAAGUACAAGGUAAAUUUAUUAUCAAAAUUAUAUUCUGUACGUAACCUUUUAAUCCUGAAAUUAGUUUUCUUGUGGACAUACUGAGUAAUUUCAAGAACCAUAAUACGACUAAUGAAAGGCUGCAAUCAACUGUUACGUACCCCAUAACUGGGUCACUUACCAGCAAAGGUAGAGAGGUCCGUUGAAGUCUGAUGGUACUAUUUUUAACAGUAUUUAUUGAUAAAAAUACACAAAAGUAAUAUCAAUGCAAACAUACAGAUAAUAUACGUCGUCAAUACUAAAUCUAAAAGCGCGGGUAUAAUAAUAAUCAAUAAGGAAUAGCUCUAUCGUUGUCUAGGGGAUAGUGUAUUGUCCAAUGGAAAUAUAAAAGUCACUUCAGUUCAUUCAAGCUGCAGCUUUCUGGUUGGAGAGAAAGACGGGUUAAAACUUGCCCAUUCCUUUUAUGAUGUCAAUCCUUUGAGAGUCGUUGGGAGUUGAUUUCCCUGUUGUUAGCUAAAAACCGUUCUUCCGUGGUCAAGGCACACUGAUUCCGGGGCAAAUGGAAAUGGACACACGUGGCCUUCCCACCGGCUUUCGUUAUUACGGGAUCGCUAGCGUUUCUUCUGGUGCGUCUGAGGGGCUGUUCCCACAGACCCUCUUUUCAUCCUGACUCACAGGGUGUCAGAUGUCAAUCAGGUUGGGAUGAUGCAAUCCCUCCACCAACCUCCCCCUUGGUUCAUUGCCUGGGGCUUCGAUGCAUCGUACAGAAUUCAAAACACAAUUCCGUCUCCAAGAGACAAUAGCCGGUAUCAAUGGCUCCGCUUUUCGGAGGCCAGUACACAUUUCAACUCUUUGUGGAUUCUGCAUGUCUUUCUCUCAUUUCCUGGGUCUCCUGAACUGCCUUAAUAGUGAUCUUGCGAUUCUCACAAAGGAGGGGGCUACCCAGCACUCAGAGCGGUGGCACAUUCAUAACACAACAAGGUGGACAAGCAUCCAGUGCACAAAAGACAACAAACUGUGGAAAUACAAAAGAAAAAAAAGAACUAAUAAUAAAUAAAUAAUAACUGUCAAGUACGUGAGAUGAAGAGGCCAUGAAAGUGAGUACAUAGGUUAUGGGAACAGUUCAGUGAUGGAGCAAGAGACAUUGAGUGAAGUUAUCCCAGUGGUUUAGAGCCUGAUGUUUGAGGGGUAAUAACUGUUAUAAUAGACAAUAGACAGUAGGGGCAGGAGUAGGCCAUUUGGCCCUUCUAGCCAGCACUGCCAUUCACUGUGAUCAUAGCUGAUCAUACACAAUCAGUACCUCAUUCCUGCCUGCUCCCCAUAUUCCUUGACCCCGCUAUCUAUAAGAGCUCUAUCUAACUCUCUCUUGAAUGCACCCAGAGUCGGCCUCCACUGCCUUCUGGGGCAGAGCAUUCCACAUAUCCACCUCUCUCUGGGUGAAAAAGUUUUUCUGCAUCUCUGUUCUAAAUGGCCUACCCCUUAUUCUUAAACUGUGGCCUCUAGUUCUGGACUCACCCAUCAGCGGGAACAUGCUUCUUGCCUCCAGCGUGUCCAAUCCCUUAAUAAUCUGUUCCUGAACCUCGUGAUGUGAAUCCUGAGGCUUCAUUACCUUCUUCCUGAUGGCAGCAGUGCGAGGAGAGCGCAAACUGGGUAGUGAGGAAGGGUCCCGGAUGAUGAAUGUUGCUUUCCUGCAGUAGUGGGAAGGGCUUUACCUGUGGUGGAUUGGGCUACAUCCACUAUUUUUUGGAGGAUUUUCCAUUCAAAAGCAUUGGUGUUUCCAUACCAGGCUGUGAUGCAACCAGUCAAUAUACUCUCUGCCACACAUCUAUAGAAGUUUGUCAAAAUUUUAGAUAUCCUGAAUCUUCAUAAACGUCUUAGGAAGUAGAGGUGCUGCUGUGCCCUCCCCACGAUUGCACAUACGUGCUGGGUGCAGGACAGGUCCUCUGAAAUGAUAACAUCAAGGAAUUUAAAGUUGCCGACCCUCUCCACUUCUGAUCACUCAGUAAGGACUGGCUCAUGGACCUCUGGUUUCCUCCUCCUUGGUCUUGCUGACAUUGAGUGAGAGUUUGUUGUUGUGGCACCACGGAGCUAGAUUCUCAGUCUCCUUCUAUAUGCUGAUUUGUCAUCACCUUUGAUUUGGCCAAUAACAGUGUUGUCACCAUUAAACUUAAAUAUGGUGUUGGAGCUGUGCUUAGCCAUACAGUCACAGAGAUAUAAAUAAAAUGGAGUCAUAGAAUUGCACACAGCAAAGGAACAGGCUUUUUGACCUACUGUGUGUAUGCCAACCAUUUGUACUAAUUCCACUUAACUGUAUUAAUUCUAUAUCUCUCAGUGCCUUGCUCAUUCCAAUAACAUAUGAAAACUGACUGUUUCAAGUUUGACACUUCCAAUAAUAAAUAAAGUUAUAAGAAAAAUAAAAAUGUUUCAUAGUGAUGGUCAGCACUUUAGUAGCACUAACUCAAAUGGAUUGUGGCUCGACCAGAAUUGGAGAGGGUUGUGGGAAAUUUUGAGCAUGACAAGGUGGAAGAUGAGACUAUGACAGUGAUGGUCAAGGAAAAUCCAACCUUUAGUAAAAAGAUUAUUUGAAAAUUUGAACAAUAGUCCAAUACAAUGAAACUGAAGAUACUUCAGAUGAUCAAGUUUAGUUCCUCAUUUGACAAAGAAGCUUGGUAUAAAGGAAGUCUUUUCCAUUUGUUUUUUUUUGAUAAUGGUAUCUCUUUCAAGCUAGGCCUCAUAAUGAUUUUAAUGUUUAGCCUGUGGGACUGAUCAAGUAAGUAUUCACUAUAACUUCUAAGUCAUUGAUGGCUCUAGUUGCGUACAAGAACAUGAAACAUAUUUAUAAUAUUCUUCUAGUAAUUUGCAGCAGUAAUUAUUUGUUUUAGUUUAAGUGUGAAUCCUCUGCUGAACUAAGUGAUAAGAGUAUCAUAAAAUGUGUUAUACUAUUAUACUUAGGUUUGCCAGGAUUGCCUCUAAGUACAAGGUGACAUUGACUUUGAAGUUAUCACUUAAAUAUGGAAAUGAGUACUGCGACCAAAGGGGGGUUUCAUACCCUUGGUGUAAAAUCUUUCUGUGAGCAUUUGCAGAAAGUCUCAAUGACCAACACACUGCACCUAGGCUGACCUUCUCAUGAAUCUGUUUGCUAUGCCCUCACUAGACCAGUGGGUGACUGUCUGGGGAAGUGUAGUAUUCAUUAUCCAAGUUCUUCAUUGAAGGGAAAGCUGAAAACAAGGGGAAAUCAUGUCAGCUCUUAGAAUAUCGUUGAGAAGAUUAUUACUGUGCUGAUACAAUUGUCUACAUUAUACUACACCCUGGUAAGCUUCCACGGUUGCUUGCUGCAUCCUCUAGUCUACAAUAUGAUGAUCAAGCCAACUUACCUUUUGCCAACAGAGGUGGAGUAAAAGGAAGAGGACGAUAGUGUCAAAAAACAGAGGGCAUAGGUUUAGGGUAAGGGAACGAGGCAGAGGGGUUCUGAGGAGGCAGAUUGUGGUUGGAAUCAGAUUGUGGUUGAUGAUGGAAGCAGGUACUUUCACAACUUUUAGGAAGUAUAUAGAUGAACAUUUAAAUUGCCAAGGCAUGGAAGGCUGUGACCAAAUGCAUGUGUGGGAUGAGGAUAGCUGCCUACUGAUUGAUGGUCACCAUGGACAAAGUGAACUGGAAGAAUCAAUGACUCUGUGUGGAGAAGGGAGAAGGUUUGUAAUGUAGAAGUCCCUUGCACUGGGAUUUCAAUGUUCAAAGUAAAUUUAUUAUCAAAGUACAUAUGUCACCACAUAUAACUCUGAGAUUCAUUUUCUUGUGGGCAUACUCAAAAAAUCUACAGAAAAAUAACUAAAAUAGAAUCAAUGAAAGACAGUCCAACUUGGGCAUUCAACCAGAGUGCAGAAGACAACAAAUUGUGUAAAUAGAAAAAACAAAUAAUAUUUAAUAAUAAUAAAUAAAUAAACAAUAAAUAACGAGUUUGAGAUUGUGAAGAGUUCUUAAAAGUGAGUCCAUUGAUUGUGGGAACAGUUCAAUGAUGGGGCAAGUCAAUUUGAGUGAAGUUAUCUCUUUUGGUUCAAGAGGAUGAUGGUUGAAGGGUAAUAACUUCCUGUACCUGGUGCUGUGAGUCCUGAGGCUCCUGUACCUUCUUCCUGAUGGCAGCAGUGAAAGAGAGCACUAUCUGUGUGGUGGGGUCCCUGAUGAUGGGUGCUGCUUUCCUGUGACAGUGUUUCAUGGAGGUGUGCUCAAUGGAGGGGUGAACUUUAUCUGUGAUAGACUGGAUCAUAUCCACUGGUAUUUGUAUGAUUUUCCAAUAAAAGGUAUUGGUGUUUCCAUACCAAGCUGUGAUGCAACCAGUUAAUAUACUCUCCACUAAACAUCUAUAGUAGUUUUUUCAAAGUUUCAGAUGUCAUACUGAACCUCUGCACACUCUCAAGGAAGUACAGACACCGCCAUACUUUCUUCAUAAUUGCACUUCUGUGCUGGGACCAAAUAAUAACACUGAGGAAUUUAAAGUUGCUGACCCUCUCCACUUCUGAUCCCCCGAUGAGAACUGGCUCAUGGACCUCUGGUUUCCUUCUCCAGAAGACAAUAAUAGGCUCUUUGGUCUUGUUGACAUUGAGUAAGAGGUUGUUGCUAUGGCACCACUCAGCCAGAUUUUCCAAUCUCCCUCAUAUGCUGAUUCAUCAUCAUCUUAUAUUUGGCCUAUGACAGUGGUGUUGUCAGCAAACUUGAAUAUGACAUUGGAUCUGUGCUUAGCCAAACAGUCGUAAGCGUAAGUCAUAAGCUUCAACAAAGAGAAGCCCAGGCACUGCUCAGAUAUAAAAGGUGAGCCAGUACUGCUCAUUUAUAAAACAGCUAGCCUAGUUACAUUUCUGGUCAACCAGAGGGCACAGGUUUAGGGCAAGGGAAAAAAGACUUGGAGGGAACCUGAAAAAGCAGAUGGUGGUUAGAAUCUGCGAUGCCCUGCUUGAAUGGAUAUGACACGAUCAUCUUUUUUCAAAACUCAACAUCUGUUGGCUAAAGUUAAACUAGCUUGAUCACCAUGUUGCAGAGGGUGCUAGUACUGCUCAGGUACAGAACAGCCAAAACCCACAUUCAACAAGACCUCAAUAAGCUGAAAAAUGGCAGAUAACAGUCACUGCAUACAAACAUGAGAUAAUGGUUGCCUUCAUCUCAAGUCUAAACAUCCUGUCCUUGACAUUAAAUGACAUUCCUUUUGCAGAUUUCCUCCCACAUCGGGUUAUUGUUGACCAGAAAUGUAAUUAGGCUACCCACAUAACACCAGUUUCUACAAGAGUAGAUCAAAGGACUGGUAUCCUGUGGUGAGUGACUCAUUUCUGACUCAAUAAAGCCAUUCCACCAUUGGCAGGACACUAGUCAGCAAUGAGAUGGAGUAGUUUUUACACUCAGGUAAUUGCAGCUUCAACAACACAAAGAUUUAUAUACCAUGGGGGUCAAAGCAGAUCCUGGACUGCCACCCCAUCAACUAUCCUAAACACCCAUUGUCUUCACCCAUGGUAUAUAGUAGCAGUGGUAUGAAUCAUCAACAAAAAUGCUCUGCAGUUUUCCAGCAUAUGAAGCACCACCACCUGGAAGCUCUUCACCGAAUCACAGCCUAUGCUAACUGGAAAAGUACCUCUAUAAAUUGUGUCACCUGUGCUAACUCCCAUAACUAUCAAAUCACAAGGGCUAAAGUAUUUCAAAUAGGUUAAUUAAACAUAAUUUACUUCUUACAAAUCUUUACUAACUCUUACUAAUUAACUCAAGCCUCUCCAAUAAUUUCCUUAACUAAUACUUCUAUAAUUUAUCUAUUACCAAUGCUAGAGUAGAAGGCCCAUGAUUACCAAGAAUGAUCUUACAAUCUAUCUUGAACAUUUUUGAGUCCCAUUGUAUUUCUCCUCAUCUUGGAAAGAAUGGAAGAUUUUGGUAAGGUCUUCCACCAGAUCCUUUUAGGAACAUAGGAUACCCAUGGAAUACCCAUUCUAACCAUAGAAUUCUCCAGAAUAUUCUGCAUACUUAUUUUCACUCCAAACCAUUACCUCUACCAUUUAUAUGAAUUUAAAUAUUUUAUCAGAAUAAUCUUCCUUAAUAAACACCAAUAAAAAUAGCAAUUAAGCAUUCAAGAUCUGACUUGCACUUGUAAGCAUACACCCCCUUUAUUUUCUCUAAAAUGUCCCAUUCUGCCUCUUCCCAGAUGCUUAUGUUAACAUGUUGGUAGAAGAACUCGUGUUCCCCUUUAUGUAGCCACGAUUCUGUUCGAUAUUCUGUCUUUGCCUGCAUUGUUUUCCUCAUUUCCUCUCUCAACUUACUAUACUUAUUCUGGUUUUCAUUUAAAGGAGUUACUUGAUAUGCAUCAUGUACACUCAUUUUUAGUUUUAAUAGGUUCUUUAUCUAAGGAUCUUUGGCUUUGGUUUUCCUAUUUGUGGCAUUGUAACGAGCCUCCAGCUGGAACACCUCAUCCUUGAAAAUGUUGCUUUAUUAUGCUUUGGGGCUUUCUCUCAUUUUUUUGGUUAUUAUUGGAGAAUGCAUCAGAGAUUAAAGGAACUCUUUCAUGAAAACCACAUAACAGCUGUAUAAAAGGCUGCCAUGGAGGUGAGAGGGAUUAUUAGAGAAGGGAAAUGAGGAGAGUCUUCUUUGAAGGCACCCUUCAUGUGACUACUUGCCCUGGCACCACACUACUGCAAGAUACUGGAUGAGUAAUGAUGUAGAGGUUUCAGCAGCUAGCUCUGAUGUGUGUAGUAUAAAGAAAUAGCAACCAGUGAUUAGAUUUCAAUCACCCUGAAAAUCAAACACUGAGGCUGAAAGAUGCUGUCAGUAACACACAGGAUAUGUUCCUAGAGGAACUUGGGUCUCAGCCCGAAAUGUUGACUGUUUACUCUUUUCCAUAGAUGCUACCUGGCCUGCUGAGUUCCUCCACAUUUUUGUGUGCAUUACUUUGAUUUCCAGCAUCUGCAGAUUUUCUCCUGCUAUGGUAAACCAUAGAUGUGGAAAUUCCUUACUUGAUUUUCACUUUAUUUGUCUACCUGCACUGCACUUUCUCUAUCACUGCAACAUGAUAUUCUGCAUUCUGUUUUUCUGUCUGGAUGGCAUGAAAAUGAAAACUUUUCACUGUAUCUUGGCACACGUAACAAUAAUAAAAGAAUACUAACACAGCACAAUGUCCUCCUAGUGUUCGUGACUUUUCAAAAUUAGUCACAAGUUGCAACCAAAAGCUGAAAUUUAUGCUUAUAAAUGAAGAAAAACUGUGGAGUACUCCCUACAACGUGACUUACUUUGGGAAAACACCAGGUAAAUUCAAAUACUAUUGCCAGUUUCCUGAUGGGAGCAACUUUUUCUAGAUAUUAUCACUAGUGUGAUCUACCCUUUGUUAAGUCAUUUUUUUGUCCUAAAAAUGUGCACUAAUGGAUCAAAUUUCCUGGCUGAGGGUGCAUUGUCCAUUUCCCCCUCAUUGCUACUCCAUGCUUGUGUUAGGCAAGUCCACAAUUUAAUUUGUGGGUCAUGAAUUGACACAAAAUACAUCAAUUUCUCCUGACAUUGAAGAAAAUUCCAAUCUACUUUUGAAAAAUGGAAAGAAGUUUGCAUUUUCCCCACUAUUUUAUUAUAAAGACACAAUUUGGUUUCCACAGGUAUAUUACAGUUCAACAGAUAGAGGGCUGUAUUGAGUUGGCUGUACUCACAUUUCUGAAGGUAGAUAACAAGUUUCGGUGGACUUCUCUUGCAGGUUUUGGACUUGCUGAAUUACAGGUGCCAGAGAAUUGAACACACUGCAACAUUGUUGUGAAGAACAAUGAUGGAACUUUGUCUUGCUGGGUGACCUGGAAAUCUUAAAGCUAUUUGACCCACAGUGCUGUUGGCUGAAUUGAAGAUAUGAAGAUAUGAAAAUGUGAUAGAGAAGAGAUCGAUCGGAGGUUUGGAUCAAAGCCCAAAGUUUGAUCAGAGGUCCAGAUCAAAGCUUAAAGGUCAAAGAGAAGUCCAGAACUUGAGGCUUAUUGGCUGGAGCUGGAAUCCAUGAAUCUCCAUAAGACUAUUGGAGAAGCUGGGGCUAAGCGUCUAUGAAUCCAGGAGUCCACUAGAAGUUGAAGAAGAUAAUUGUCUUGGAGAUAGAGGAAGAGAAGAACGAGGCUUGCUUUGCUGUUGUUGCUUUGCUGCUUGGCAUGCACAGUAAAUACAAGAAACAUGAUAGGACCCACAACGGACUGCACCCAACAAGACAAACAAGCAACCAAUGUGCAAAAGACAAUGAGCUGUGCAAAUACAAAAAGAAAACUAAAAAAAGCUAUAAAUAUUGGAAACAUGAGAUAAAGAGUCUUCGAAAGUGAGUCCAUAGAUUGUGAGAAGAGUUCAGUGAUGGGGCGAGUGAAGUUGAUUGAAGUUACUGUCUCUGGUUCAAGAGCCUGAUGGUUGAGGGCACUGGGAAAAAUGUAAAAACUUAAUUGUUUUUGAGAAUAUACAGAACUUCUCAACUUUAUUGCCAACUAAACUCAAGUCUUGAACUUUUUUUAAAAUCACUAUUUUUUUGCAACACCAACAAAUUACAUUCAAUACAACCAGUUGCCGAUUACAUUUUGAUUGUUUAACCCAGCCAUCCCCCAACCAUCACCAUCUCCCCUCCACCCUUUAUCCUGAUCCCCACCCCACUUUCCACCCCUCAUCCUCAUCCCCACCCCCUUUCCACCCCUCAUCCUCAUCCCCACCCCUUCUCCACCCCUCCCCCCAUCCUUCUCCCCUCCACCAACCAACUGAAUAGUAGUGUAUACACGGAUAGAGCAUUCCUAUUUUAAAAGAAGAUCUUUUAAGUUAGAUAUCAAAUUUGUCCACAUUAAGAUUGUGUUUGGUCAUGCAUCAUUUACUCUUGCUGAUGAUAAUUCCAGGUAAGAAAUGUCCAAAAGGCUCUGAAGCCAGUGAGUACUUGAAAUAUCAUGAGGAGGUUUCCAAUGCUAGACUACAAUCUUCUUAGCUGCACUCAGGCUGGCCAGCCAGACUUUGCGUGCUUUUACCGUAAGGGAAAGGUGGGAGUUAUCAUUUAGAAGAUGUACAGUGGGGUCCAUUGGAAUAGUACCACCGUUAGUUCUGUAAGAGUACUGAUAACCUUCCCCCACAAGCCAAAACACCCCGGACAUUCCCAUAUAACAUGUAUAAAAGAGCCAACGGUUCCGUGGGGGCAAAAUGAGCAAUAUGGGUCAGGAACAGUCCCAUUUGAUGUCUAAUUCUCGGUGUUAAAUAUACUCUGUGACAAAAUUUCAAGUGUAUAUACUGAUGAUUUGGGUUUUUCGAAGAACUGGCAGCAUUAUCCCAAAUCGCAUCCCAGUCUAAGUCUUGUCCCAAUUCAGAUAAGUCCCUAUCCCAGGCUUUCAUUACUGAUGUGGUCAUAUCUUUCUGGGAGUUUAAUUUAUCAUAGAUAUAUGACACUAUCUGUCCCGGAGCACUCUGUAUCCAACUUAAAAUGGGAUGAAGUCUUGAACUUUUUUUGAUCUUUGUAAUCUUGUAUAUAUCUGAUUUUAUGUUUGCCCUUUGAAUUUCCUUUUUGUCUAGUAAUGAAAUUAAAUCUCAUUUCACUUUCUUCAAUUUUAGCUUUUUUCCGCCAAGAUCUUUUGUUUUCCUCUUGUUUUGGACAUUCACAGAUUGUUUAUUGCUACAGUAUCAGAAGAUGUGCAGCAUGAUCAAAUAUAUUUUCCCUCGAUUGAGCUCUAGCUAAGAAUCAAUAGCUUGAAGUGGAGUAGGACUCAGAAGACUUUACACACUCAUGUGUGUUAUUACUGAAAAAUCUGUACUUUGCUUGUUUAACAUGACUUACUUCACCAAAAGUUGUACUUUGUGGAAACAAAGAAAAUUACACUGUUUCUCUGAACACUUUCCAUAAAGUACUCCAGCACAAUGCAGAAGUCUAUAAUCGACCACAUCUGUGGUUGCUUUCAAUAAAAUUACUUCAGUUUGGUGUACACCAUGCUCCCACGUAAGUAUCAGUUGUAACUGAAACAUAUGCUGUAAGUUGAAGACCCUUUUUAAACAACAAAAUAAGUGGUUUGCAUAAAGACCUAUAAUGUAAACUAAAGUCUAGAAACAGUUCCAAAAAUGAUGUCAUAAUUGCCAGCACUCACCCGAAAUGAACAUAAUUGUACAAUGUGACUGCCAUAUGGUAAAUUCAAGCCAUUCAAAUACUUAAUUCUGCUGUUGCAAGUUUUCAAAAAUAAGGUCCAUCUUAUUGUAUAAUUAACAUCCUCUGUCAUGAAUAACUAAAAGAUGGUUAUUUUUUCAUAUGUAUUAGAUUUAUUUGUAUCAUGUAACAAAUCUCUAGACAUGGUGAGCUUAUGAGAGGCUAGAGAGGGUGCUGACACUUCACUAAGUUAAAUUCAGCAAUUCAGCUUUUGUACAAUGACCUGUAACUCAAAUCAAGUGACUGAACAGCUCUGCCAGUGAAUGAGAAAAUACAUACAACUUCGAAUCUUUCUAAACUCCAGCUGGGAGACAGAUGCAAGAUCCAAUAGGGAGAAAAUAUAUACGCUUGAAAGGUUUUCUUCAGGAAAGGGGAAGAACCUGUAAUGUUAGUUUCAGUUUUGGGCAGCAAGGAAGGAACAUCUGUUUUCUCAUCUUGUUGGUUGUUCCAAUGUUUAUGUUAUUGUGAGGAACUUGUAUCUCCUCAACAUUUGGUCUUUUCUUUUAAAUUUUUGAUGACUUAUCUGAUUAUACAUCUCAUGAAAACCUCUUGCUUCCCAGCACUAAAUGCGCAGUCAGUUGUGUGGCAUGAUAGUUUCUCAGAAUUGUUGUUUCUAUGCCUUUUAAUCCCACAUUCACUGCCAAACUCCUCAGCAAGAGAUCAAAAAGUUAUCUGAAGGUAAGCUUUGCUAAAUCCACUACAAAAUACAGAGUUGAAACCUGAAAGUGAACCUCUGGGCAAAGUAAGGUUUGGUACGCAUGAGGGUGAGAAAUCUGGACUUCAUAAAAAUCAGUGCUCAAAGGAUUGGAGAGAUUACCUGUUAAUAUUGCGACUUUGCUCUGAACUAACAAGCAAUCUCAUUGGCCAUAGAGACAUUAGAUUGCAUUUAUUUUUGUAUUUUGCGUCGGUAUGGGUUAAUGAAAAAGUAAAAUUUCUUCCACAUGCCCAACACUAUCACAUUUCCAGCUCCAGAAAAGCUAAUGUAUUACAUCAGUUUUGACCUAAAUUGUAUAAUUUCUGGGCGAAUAUGUCAGAUUGAACAGAACUUCUGUCUUUUUGAUAAGUAAGGACUUUCACCAUCUAGGAACUAGGCCAAGCAUAGCUAAUAUUGUUGAACUCAUUUUUCUUUCAUAAUUUGUAAACAGAUUUGUAAAAAUUGUAACGGAUAUUCUAAAAGUUCAUAGAAUCAUAGAAAUAUAUGACACAGGUGUGUAUUCACCUUGUUGGGCCCACAUUGACUGAAUGGACAUUGGUAAUCCUACUUUCCAGGUCUUCCUCUGUAGCCCUACAAGUGAUGACUCUUGAAAUGAUAAUUGAGGAACUUUAAAAAUGUAAUGAGUUUUUCUGCCUCCAUCAUCACUUUAGAUAGUUCCAGACCUCACCACUUUUUGAAUCUUUGAGUGAGCAUUUCCUGAAGUCAUAGAACCACAGAGUUGUAGAGCAUAGAAAUGAGCCUUUUGGUCCAACAAAUCUAAACCAAUGCAUUUACUCCCAUCUCGCAAGGAUUGCAUUUUUAAAAUUCUCUCCAUAUUCUCAACAAAUCCCCUCAGAUUCUAUAAUUAACAUCACAAUAAUCAUUUAAAGUCUAUGUUUCUAUAUGGAAUUCUCUACUUAGGGAACUACAUCCUUCCAAUUCAGCUCAUCUUUUUCUCCUCAUAAUUUUAUCCUUCUUAACUCUUUCCUCACACUCCUGUGUUUCAUGGUUAAAAAGCCUAGAUGCUCUUUCCUCCUAUAAUUCUACAUUCUCAACACUAGCACAACCCAAACAGACUGGUAUAUUCACUGGCUACUGUAAGUGCCACCUGAUGUUGUCAUUGAUGAAAGUGAUGGAAAACGUCAUCAGCAUGCCAAAACUGAUUGGACAGAAUAUAAUUGAAAACAAUGAAUGGCUAGAAGAUUAAUAAUGAAUGAAAAUUUUUAGUAUAAGAUACUGCUAUCCAGAAAUAAAUAUAAAAAAUAAGAACUGUGAACACAGGAAGUGAUUUUGAGUAAUUAACAAUGGUUAGCAAGGAGCUGGCGGAUCAAUUACAGAGACACAAGAGAUGCUGCAGAUGCUGGAAAUCCAGGCAACUCACACAAAAUGCUGGAGGAUCCCAGCAGGUCAAGUGGCAUCAAUUGAGGGAAAUGAACAGUCAAUGUUCCAGGCCAAAACCCUUCAUCAGGACUGGAAACAUAGAAGUGAGAAUAAAAGAGUGGGUGGAGGGGAGGGGGGAAAACACUAGCUGACAUGUGGUAGGUAAAUUCAGGUGAGAAGGGGAAGCAGGAGGUAGGGAAGGAGGCUAACAGAAAGUGACGUGAGAUGUUGGGAGUUGGAAGAGGCAAAGGAUGGAAGAAGAAGAAAUCUGAUAGGAGAGGAUAAUAGACCAUGGAAUAAAGGGAAGAAAGUGUGGAACCUGAUGAAGGAAAAGAUGAUGGCAGAUGAUAUGAGGGCAGGAUAGAGGAAAGAGAAGGGGCAAUUAUCUCUGCAACUGUGUUAAGUGUUACACCUCCUCCCUCUCGCCAUUCAGGGCCCUAAACAGUCCUUCCAUAUCAGGCGGUAUUUCACAUGCAUCUCCAUGGGUGUAAUUUAUUACAUCCAGUGCUCUUGGUGAACCUCCUUUACAUCAGUGAGACCUGAUACAGCUAUAGCUUCAUGUUGCCAAGCAUCUUUGCUCUGUUCCCCACAACAACCAGGGUCUAUCCAUGGUCAGCCAUAUUAAUUCCACUUCCUAUUUCCACACCGGCAUGUCUGUCAAUGGUUUCCUCUGCUGCCAAAUUGUGACCAGACACAGACUGGAGGAACUAGGAUUUUCCUAAUUUCUGUUUCCCAUCCCUUGUUUUCCCUUAUUCCUCUGGCCCCUUUACCCCUUCUCUUUCCCCUCCCUCAACCUAACAACCUGCCCAACACUUUCACCUUCCUCUCUCUGAAUCCCCACGUCCUUCCCUAUAUUCCAAUGUCCACUGUUCUCUUCUAUCAAAUUUCUUAUUUGCCUCCUCCAGCCCUUUGCCCCUUCCACCUUUAACUCCCAGCUUCUCAUAUCAUUCACGUUUCAUUCCUCUCCACCCUCCCACCUUUCCCCAUCACCCGGAUUCACCUAUCACCUGCCAACUUGAGCUCUUCACCCCACUCCUGCCUUCUGCCCUUUUCCUUUCCAAUCCUGAUGAAGGGUCUCGGUCUGAAACAGUGACUAUUCAUUCCCCUCCAUAUAUACCGCCUGACCUGUUGAGUCCCCCCAGUAUUUUGUGUGUGUUGACAAGUGAACUAAACAAGUAUUUUGCGUCAGGCUUCACCACAGAAGAUCUGGUGGUAGUGUGAUCGCUUGAGUUGAGUAGGACAUUCUCCUAAGGGAUUAGCUAUUGGUGGGUCCUCAGAUGGCUGUAGAGGUUGAUCCGGGAUCCACAUACUCUCUUGUAGUGUGGGCAAGAGAAAGCGAUGAUCAUAGAUAGUAGUCAGGCUGUUCACUACAGAAAAUAUAACAUCCCAGCAAAGCUGUAAAUCAUGAAUUGGAAUGCAAAAAAUUUAUAAUAAUCAAGAUAGUGGUACUGAGCAAUUUAUUGGAGCUGUGGAUUUAUAAAUCCAUGAGUACUGUAUGUUAUUCCCGGUUUGUUAAAGAAGACACUAAUGUUAUAGGUGGUGUUGUGUUUAAUUCCCCAAUAUUUCCUUUAUUUGGGGAAUAUUCCAUUAGACUGGAAAAUCGCAAAUGUAAUUUCUUUUUUUUUAUAUAUGUCAUGAUUUCGGCUUUGCAUUCAAACAUUAAUUUGAACUUCUCAUUUGACUGUUCAAUCUCACAGUGGAUCUAAAUACAUCUGUAAAUAAUUAGCCCUAUGUGCUACUGUCAUUUACUGUCAUCAAUAAACUCAGCAAGUUUCCUGUUGGCUUUAACAUGCUGGUAAUUUAUAUAGAUCAUAAACCAUUGUGAUUAAACACCAGAAUAUGUAGUGUCUCUGUACUCAUCAUCAGAGUCAUCAGGAAAUGCUCAUCGUUUUUCAUUGAAUCAAAUUGACUUUAUUUCUUACAUCCUUCACAUACACAAAGAGUAAAAAUCUUUACGUUACGCCUCCAUCUCAAUGUGCAAAGUGUAAUCAUCGUAAUUUAUAAUAAUUUAUAAUAAAUAGAACAGUCAAUGUAAUAUACUCAAAGCAGCGUGAGUUUAUCAGUCUGAUGGCUGAGUGAAAGAAGCUGUCCCAGAGGCUGUUGGUCUUGGCUUUUACACUGUGGUAACGUUUCCUGGAUGGUAGCAGCUGGAAUAGAUUGUGGUUGGGAUGACUUGGGUCCCCAAUUAUCCUAUGGGCCCUUUUCACACGCCUGUCUUUGUAAAUGUCCUGAAUCAUGGGAAGUUCACAACUACAGAUAUGCUGGGCUGUCUGCAUCACUCUCUGCAGAGUCCUGCGAUUAAGGGAGGUACAGUUCCCAUACCAGGCAGUGAUGCAGCCAGUCAGGAUGCUCUCAAUUGUGCCCCUAUAGAAAUUUCUUAGGGUUUGGGGCCAUGCCAAAUUUCCUCAACCAUCUGAGGUGAAAGAGGCGCUAUGGUGCCCUUUUCACCACACCGCUGGUGUGUACAGACCAUGUGAAGUCCUCGGUGAAGUAGAUGCCAAAGAACUUAAAGCUGUUUACCCUCUUAACCCAGAUCCAUAGAUGUCAAUAGGGUUUAGCCUAUUUCCAUUCCACAACCAAAUCCUUUGUUUUUGCGACAUUGAGGGAGAGGUUGUUUUCUUGACAUCACUGUGUCUGAGGGACUUCUUCCCUGUAGGCCACCUAAAUAUUUUUUGAGAAAAGGCCAAUCAAUGUAGUGUUGUCAUCACACUUAAUUACCAGAUUAGAGCUGUGGGUGGCAAUACAGUCAUGGGCAUACAGGAAGUAAAGGAGGGGACUCAGUACGCAGCCCUGAGGGGCUCCUGUAUUGAGAGUCAGAGGGUUGGAAGUGAGGGAGCCCACCCCUACAACCUGCUGGCAAUCUGACAGGAAGUCCAGGAUCCAGCUGCACAAGGUAGGGUCAAAGCCGAGAUCUCUGAGCUUCUUGUCGAGCCUGGAUGGAGCUAAGGUAUUGAAUGCAGGACUGUAGUCCAAGAACAGCUUUCUCACAUAAGCAUCCUUCCUCUCCAUAUGGGUAAAUUUGUACAUAGAAUGGAAGUGGUCAGUGAACUAAAUCAUGCUGGUGAAACAAAGGAAGAAAGCAAUGAUGACCUUACACAAUCAGAGUAUGUAUGGUCUCAGGAAUGUAGUUCUAUAUUAUCAACAGCCACACAAUCCAAUCAAGUUGGAAACAAUUACACCACAAACCAACCACCAACUAGCUCAGCGAUCAUCAUAAAAUGAACAGUGCAGAACAUGCAGCAAUUCCCUGGUUCGAAAGCGUUGACUUUGUAUGAGUCUUAAUCACCUUUCCAAACUGAUAGUUUUUAAGGCUUGUUAAUAUUAGCAGUCCUGUGCCUCAAUAAUAAUUUUACAGAUUAGCUUAAGUGGCUGUAAUAAUUUAUUACAAUUCCAUAAUGGAGCAUCACUGUCCAGUCCACUGUCGAUACAAUCACUUCUAGUUUCAAGACUGUAAUGUGAAACUCCUGUAACUUGAAUUCUGAAAACCCCUGCAUGACAAUACAAGAUAGCUGCACAGUAAAGGUAUUGUGAUCUUUCACAGUCCUAUUUUAUUCCAUUGUCUGUUUUUGAAUGUAUUUUAACAGCUUAAUAAAUAAUUUCAAGAUCUUUUCAAAUCAUGGUUUACUUAUUAUUUUCCUUUUUUCUGCUGAUUGCUUGUUAUUCAUUUAUUUGAGUAAUUGUUUGUUGUUUUUUUGCUAUGAAUAAAUAAAUGUCUAAUUGCACGCCGCUUUCUCUGUAACCAACACUUUAUUCUGCACAAACAUGAGAAAAUCUGUAGCUGUUGGAAAUCCAAAGCAAUGCACACAAAAUGUUGGAGGAACUCAGCAGGUCAGGCACCAUCUAUGGAAAUGAA
Molecule: long non-coding RNA, 16175 nt
Organism: Hypanus sabinus (Atlantic stingray)
Lineage: Eukaryota; Metazoa; Chordata; Chondrichthyes; Myliobatiformes; Dasyatidae
Exons: 4
Source: RefSeq, a predicted model, not a curated record